Molecule: ribosomal RNA, 497 nt
Filed under: uncultured bacterium
Lineage: Bacteria
Description: partial 16S ribosomal RNA
Rfam family: Bacterial small subunit ribosomal RNA
Source: RNAcentral
GAUGAACGCUGGCGGCGUGCCUAAUACAUGCAAGUCGGGCGAACAGACGAGGAGCUUGCUCCUCUGACGUAAGCGGCGGACGGGUGAGUAACACAUGGAUAACCUACCUAUAAGACUGGGAUAACUUCGGGAAACCGGCGCUAAUACCGGAUAAUAUAUUGAACCGCAUGGUUCAAUAGUGAAAGACGGUUUUGCGGUCACUUAUAGAUGGAUCCGCGCCGCUUUAGCUAGUUGGUAAGGUAACGGCUUACCAAGGCAACGAUGCGUAGCCGACCUGAGAGGGUGACAGGCCACACUGGAACUGAGACAAGGUCCAGACCCUUACGGGAGGCAGCAGUAGGGAAUCUUCCGCAAUGGGCGAAGGCUUGACGGAGCAACGCCGCGUGAGUGAGGAAGGUCUUCGGAUCGUAAAACUCUGUUAUUAGGGAAGAACAAAUGUGUAAGUAACUAUGCACGUCUUGACGGUACCUUAUCAGAAAGCCACGGCUAACUACGUG